GUAAUAUUUUUUUACGAUCUAUAAUAUCACUAGAAUUCAAAAAAUCAAUGUUGUGUGUUUGUGUCUCACAAAACUAAAUUCCGUUUUUUGCUUGUUGGGUUGGGACUAUGGACUUGAAGUGUCAGAGGUGUCCAAUAGAUGACACAGGUGUUCUUGUUUAUCAUGUGAUGGUGGAUUGUUGUGUGGUUGUCAAAAGUUUCCUAUAUUUUUCAAUUUUUACAUGAAAAUUUCCUAUGAAUUCUUAAGCUCUGCGUGUAGGAAGGAACGCGAAAGGCAACUAGACAAGUACAAGUAGCCUACCAUCAAUUAUUUCAUAAAAUUUUUUCGUUCUACUGAAUGCUUCAUCCUAUUAAUACAGGUCACUAACCCCAGCAUUGACACGCAUUGUUUUUUCCAACAUGUUUCUACAAAUAAAGACAAAGAAAGCUAUGGGAACAUAAUCGGAUACCGACAUAAUCAAGGCCAUCCAUCGUAAUAAUCAUCGUAAUAAUAAUCAGGUUUAUUGCAGCAACUCAGAGAAUUCACAUGAAAAGAUGCAAGGCACAUACCUAUAUUUUUCUGAAUGUUUUACUCAAGCAGUAGAAGCAAUUAACUUUAGUUUAUUGCAUUAAUGUUGGAAUGUUUAUUGAAAUAUUUCCUUUAGUUCAACAUUACUAACUGUUUGAUGCCAAAGUAAGUUGGAACUCUAACUGAAACACUGAUUUUUUUCCAGUUUUCUCAAAAAAUUGUAAGUUGUAUUAUUUUGUCUUGACCCUCCAUACUUGCUGUGAGUAUUAUAGAUUGUUAAUGUUGAAUUAGUUCAGGAGAACGAUCCGAAAUUGCUAUCUAAAAGAAUUUGUGUGUUGUGUCAUAGGGAAAGCUGCUUGAGUAAUCUAUCUAGUGUCCAUCCCCACUUGAUUCAUUUCGUGCCAGCUGGUUUAAAGGCGUGACGAAUUCAAAUAGCUGCUACGUGCUGUCUGCAAGCAAGCAAUUCAAUUGGCUGUCGCUAGGUGGCGCGAGUGUCUUGAGGGGACUAAAUUCGGCCAUUUUGCACCUUGACGCAGCUGAAGUUGGAUGCCGGUCGUGACGUUUCGCAUGAUGAAAAUAUAAAGAUUAUUUCAAUGCCACUUUGUCAAAUCAUCUAACUCGGACUUGAGUGCCUGUUCAUUUUGCCGAAAUGUCGUGCCUCGUGUGUCCUGCUGCCAGUACCCAGUCGUACGUCUCGUCCCAUGCAAAAGCAAAAGUCUGCUGUUGGUUUACUUGUUGCAGCGAGAUGGUGAAAGGUGUGAUGACGUCUAAUUUAACCAUUGUAUGCAGCGUGUUGUUGCAGUGUUAUCCAGAAGUAGCUGCUCAGUGUGGCAGUAUCCUGAAGCAGCCUGAAGCCUGAAGUUGCCAGUGAUAUCCGGGUUGCUGACUUGGAAAUUUUUCUCUGUUUUCAUUUUUGUGUCUUUUGCUCUGCCAGUGGUAUUCUGAGUUGCAGACUUUACAUCUUUCUAUCUGUUCUCA
Long non-coding RNA from Daphnia pulex (common water flea), 1485 nucleotides. RefSeq lists it as uncharacterized. The transcript has 6 exons. The record is from RefSeq and is a predicted model, not a curated record. Lineage: Eukaryota; Metazoa; Arthropoda; Branchiopoda; Diplostraca; Daphniidae.